This 4035-nucleotide unclassified non-coding RNA is filed under the name Hevea brasiliensis (rubber tree). Lineage: Eukaryota; Viridiplantae; Streptophyta; Magnoliopsida; Malpighiales; Euphorbiaceae. The record is from RNAcentral.
GUUGUUUUUAAAUUAUUCCUUUAUUUAUUUUAUCAUUAAAAGAAGUUUCCUAACCGAAUGCCAAAAGUUACUUCACUCCCUGUGUGUAUGUUUCACUUCACAUCCUGACUUGACUCCGAAACCUUCAUUUUUGCAGCUGAACAAACCCUAGAGAGCCGCACUGAUUCAAUUCGCUCUACUCUGUUCAACUCGGGAAUUGUUUCGUCAGGAAUUGAUGCAAAGAUGAGUUCCUUUUCUAUUCCACGCAAAAAGACACCUUUCCAGAAGCAUAGAGAAGAGGAAGAAGCAAAGAAAAAGAGAGAGGAUGAUGAAACAGCUCGAUUGUAUGCUGAGUUUGUGGAGUCAUUUCAAGGGGAUGCACCUGGGUCCAAGACUUUUGUUCGAGGCGGAACCAUCAAUCCAAAUGAGAGAGUAAAGACUGAUUCUGAAGGUGAAAAGUCCAAAGAUGGGGUAUCUGGUCCAAAAAAGGGAAGUAGGUAUGUUCCAUCUUUUCUGCCACCUCCCAUGGCAGUCAAGGGAAAAGAAUCUGAGAAGAAGAAGGAGGAGGAAAGACCAAAGGAGAAGGAAAAAGGGAAGACUCGGAAUAUAGAUCAUUUCAUGGAGGAACUGAAGCAUGAACAUGAGAUGAGGGAGAGGCGAAAUCAGGAACGUGAGCGCUGGCGUGAUGGGCGUGCUACUGAGAUUGCUGCUCCAUCUAGUAGAUUUGAUGAAUUGCCUGAUGACUUUGAUCCAACUGGAAAGGGAUCAUUUGAUGAUGGUGAUCCACAAACUACUAAUCUUUAUGUUGGGAAUCUCUCUCCUCAGGUUGACGAGAAUUUUCUUCUGCGAACUUUUGGAAGAUUUGGGCCUAUUGCUAGUGUCAAGAUAAUGUGGCCUAGAACAGAAGAAGAGCGAAGGCGGCAGAGAAAUUGUGGAUUUGUAGCAUUUAUGAAUAGAGCUGAUGGGCAGGCUGCAAAAGAUGAAAUGCAAGGAGUUGUUGUGUAUGAAUAUGAGUUGAAGAUAGGCUGGGGUAAAUCUGUAGCUCUUCCAUCACAAGCACUACCUGCUCCACCACCAGGACAUAUGGCCAUCAGGAGUAAAGAGGGUGCCACUGUAAUUCUCUCUGGUCCAUCGGGCCCGCCAGUAACUUCGGUCCCAAACCAUAACUCUGAACUGGUUCUUACUCCAAAUGUUCCUGAUAUAAUGGUUGUUCCACCUGAUGAUGAUCAUCUCCGCCAUGUAAUUGAUACAAUGGCUCUGUAUGUUUUGGAUGGAGGAUGUGCUUUUGAACAAGCUAUCAUGGAAAGGGGCCGUGGGAAUCCUCUUUUCAACUUUUUGUUUGAGCUUGGCUCGAAGGAACAUACAUAUUAUGUUUGGAGGCUGUAUUCUUUUGCUCAGGGUGAUACUCUUCAAAGGUGGCGAACAGAACCUUUUAUCAUGAUAACUGGUAGUGGAAGAUGGAUGCCACCGCCUCUGCCCACAGCAAAGAGCCCAGAGCAUGAAAAGGAGUCUGGUAACACAUAUGCUGCUGGAAAAAGCAGGGUAUAUUUAUCAUUGUGAUUUCUGGCAGUGACAUUACUUCCCAUUAUUGAAAAAAUUGUUGUCAUUAAGCCAUUGUAAACUAUAAACCGAAUAACGAUGGAUUAUAUAAUUUCAUUAAUUAAAAUCUAAAGAAAAUGUAACGAUGGCCUAUCUGGCGUUGUAAUUGUUUUGUGAAUUCUUUAAUGUUCAGAAUUAAAAUUUUAAACAAUGUCAAAAGAUAGUGACAGUUAAAUCCAUUGUUAUGUAAGUUAAUAUUCAAUUUGUAGUACUAUCUUUAAUCUGUCAUUAAAUAGGGACAGAUUAAUGAUGGAUUGUAUUUGUCCUUCCAAACCAACAAAAUAAAAGGUAACAACAGAUAAAUUUCUGUUGUUAACUUUAAUAUGGUAAUAUCCUGUGUUAUUUGGAAUCAAUUUGUAAACCUGAUAAAAAUAUAGCAACCCAGUUUUUUUUCCUUGCUGUUUUGAACUUUUGCAGCGUGUUGACCCAGAACGAACCCUGACUGAUCCCCAGAGGGAUGAGUUUGAGGAUAUGUUACGUGCGUUAACGUUAGAAAGAAGUCAGAUAAAGGAUGCUAUGGGUUUUGCUUUGGAUAAUGCUGAUGCUGCGGGAGAGAUAGUUGAAGUUCUAACAGAUUCUCUGACACUGAAAGAAACUCCUAUUCCAACUAAAGUUGCAAGGCUCAUGCUUGUCUCUGACAUUCUACAUAAUAGCAGUGCACCCGUAAAAAAUGCUUCCGCAUACCGCACCAAAUUUGAAGCCACACUACCUGACAUAAUGGAGAGCUUUAAUGACUUGUAUCGUAGUAUAACUGGGAGGAUCACUGCUGAGGCCCUCAAGGAGCGGGUUCUGAAAGUAUUGCAAGUAUGGUCAGACUGGUUUCUAUUUUCAGAUGCAUAUGUGAAUGGAUUGCGGGCUACCUUUCUACGUUCUAGUACUUCGGGUGUUAUCUCUUUUCAUUCUAUAUGUGGUGAUGCACCAGAAAUAGAAAAAAAGUUUAACUCAGAAGAUAUAGGUGAUGGAGGAAAGAUCAACCAAGAUGCUGCAUUGGCAAUGGGCAAAGGAGCUGCUGUGAAGGAACUAAUGAGUCUUCCUCUUGCUGAGCUUGAAAGACGUUGUAGACAUAAUGGAUUGUCUCUUGUUGGUGGUAGAGAAAUGAUGGUUGCCCGAUUGCUCAGUCUUGAAGAGGCAGAAAAGCAGAGGGGCUAUGAGUUAGAUGAUGACUUGAAAUUUUCUCAGAGCCAUUCUAGUUCUAGUAAAUUUUCAAGCGGGCGCAGAGAAACAAAUGUUGAAUCAGAGCCAGUGGGAUUGUCAGGGUGGAAUCUUUAUGAGGAGGAUGGGACACCUUCUCAAAGCAGAGGGUCUGCAUCUUUAGUAGCAACCCUUCCAAUUCCACAACCUGAAUUAAAAGCCUUCACAAAGAAAGAGAAAAACGAACCUGUUCUGCCGGCCUCUAAAUGGGCUCGAGAUGAUGAUGACAGUGAUGAUGAGCAAAAAAGAAGCACUAGAGGUUUGGGGUUGAGCUACUCGUCCUCUGGAAGUGAAAAUGCUGGUGAUGAUCCAGGUAAGGCUGAUGAUGAAACGGAGUUUGCUACUGAUGCAAGUGUUCCCAUGCAACCUGACAGCGGGAUGAAUGAAGAGCAGAGACAGAAGUUGAGACGUUUGGAGGUUGCUUUGAUAGAAUACCGUGAAUCCCUUGAGGAGCGAGGGAUGAAAAGUGUAGAGGAAAUUGAGAGGAAAGUUGCAAUCCAUCGGAAAUGGCUACAGUCAGAAUAUGGUUUAUUGGUUUCUUCUCAAGAUGUCCCUGGGAACAGUAAGAGAACAUCUUCAGAAAGGAGGGAUAGAAGGGAUGAUAGCCGUGAAUCAUCACGAAAGCGACACCGCAGCCAGAGCAGAAGCCAGAGCCCACAAAGGAAAACAUCAACCAGGGACAAGGAGAGGGAAAUUGAUUUAGAAAGGGAGCGGGAAAGGCACUGGGAUAGAGAUAGAGCUCAUGAUUUGGAAAGUGAAAGGUGGGAGAGGGAUCGCCGCGAGAAGAGUGGGAGUAGAGAGCGGGAUGAUCAUGAUAGGGAGAGAGGUAGAGGUAGAGAUAGAGAUAGAAGGAGACGAGUAAAGUGAGUUAAUUGGUUUAUGGCACUCGAGGAAUGAUGUAGAAUUUCUUUGCCUGACAGAUUUGACUCUUUCUAAAUGUCAAUGGAUGUGAUACUUAGGAGUGAAAUUGGUCUGAGUGUUGAAGUGGGAACGUUUAGAUGAAGAGAUUAAUUGGCUUAUCAAUGCCUCCAUGGAAUGUCUGCCUUCCCGGUGAGAACCUGAGGGUGGAAAAUGCUUCUUGUUAAACAAUGUUGUAGUUAGAUGUAUUUUCAUUUUGCCAUUAAAAAUUUAAUGUCAUGGUUGUGUUUAAAUGCUCAAUGAUUCAGUGUAUUGCUGCAGUAAAUUGCAUAUAGAUUUAGCCAUCACAUUAGUCCUUGCGUUCACAUUUUCAAUUUUAAAAUAUUUAGAUUAUAGUGAUUAUUGCUG